UACGUAGGUGGCAAGCGUUGUCCGGAUUUAUUGGGUUUAAAGGGUGCGUAGGCGGUCCUAUAAGUCAGUGGUGAAAUACGGCAGCUCAACUGUCGAGGUGCCAUUGAUACUGCAGGACUAGAGUACUGAUGAGGUAGGCGGAAUGGACGGUGUAGCGGUGAAAUGCUUAGAUAUCGUCCAGAACACCGAUAGCGAAGGCAGCUUACCAAGCUGUAACUGACACUGAGGCACGAAAGUGUGGGGAUCAAACAGG
RNAcentral lists this ribosomal RNA (253 nucleotides) under uncultured bacterium. RNAcentral's name for it is "partial 16S ribosomal RNA". It matches the Rfam family "Bacterial small subunit ribosomal RNA", at positions 524 to 776 of the family's 1533-position model. The record is from RNAcentral.